UGGGGAAUAUUGGACAAUGGGCGAAAGCCUGAUCCAGCAAUGCCGCGUGAGUGAUGAAGGCCCUAGGGUUGUAAAGCUCUUUUACCCGGGAAGAUAAUGACUGUACCGGGAGAAUAAGCCCCGGCUAACUCCGUGCCAGCAGCCGCGGUAAUACGGAGGGGGCUAGCGUUGUUCGGAAUUACUGGGCGUAAAGCGCACGUAGGCGGCUUUGUAAGUUAGAGGUGAAAGCCCGGGGCUCAACCCCGGAAUUGCCUUUAAGACUGCAUCGCUUGAACGUCGGAGAGGUGAGUGGAAUUCCGAGUGUAGAGGUGAAAUUCGUAGAUAUUCGGAAGAACACCAGUGGCGAAGGCGGCUCACUGGACGACUGUUGACGCUGAGGUGCGAAAGCGUGGGGAGCAAACA
Molecule: ribosomal RNA, 402 nt
Filed under: uncultured Sphingomonas sp.
Lineage: Bacteria; Pseudomonadati; Pseudomonadota; Alphaproteobacteria; Sphingomonadales; Sphingomonadaceae
Description: bacterial SSU rRNA
Rfam family: Bacterial small subunit ribosomal RNA
Source: RNAcentral